Long non-coding RNA from Amblyraja radiata (thorny skate), 67 nucleotides. RefSeq lists it as uncharacterized. The record is from RefSeq and is a predicted model, not a curated record. NCBI's taxonomy places the organism in Eukaryota, Metazoa, Chordata, Chondrichthyes, Rajiformes, Rajidae. The transcript has 3 exons.
AAAUAUAAAACAGGCUCAACCGUAGCUAAUGAGGGAAAUUAAGGAUAGUGGUAUAUCCAAGGAGGAG